CAUGCAGUCGAGCGCGCCUUCGGGUGAGCGGCGGACGGGUUAGUAACGCGUGGGAACGUGCCCUUCUCUACGGAAUAGCCUCUGGAAACGGAGAGUAAUACCGUAUACGCCCUUUGGGGGAAAGAUUUAUCGGAGAAGGAUCGGCCCGCGUUAGAUUAGGUAGUUGGUGGGGUAACGGCCUACCAAGCCUACGAUCUAUAGCUGGUUUUAGAGGAUGAUCAGCAACACUGGGACUGAGACACGGCCCAGACUCCUACGGGAGGCAGCAGUGGGGAAUCUUAGACAAUGGGGGCAACCCUGAUCUAGCCAUGCCGCGUGAGUGAUGAAGGCCUUAGGGUCGUAAAGCUCUUUCGCCUGUGAUGAUAAUGACAGUAGCAGGUAAAGAAACCCCGGCUAACUCCGUGCCAGCAGCCGCGGUAAU
RNAcentral lists this ribosomal RNA (421 nucleotides) under uncultured Alphaproteobacteria bacterium. Its description in RNAcentral is "bacterial SSU rRNA". It matches the Rfam family "Bacterial small subunit ribosomal RNA", at positions 54 to 524 of the family's 1533-position model. Lineage: Bacteria; Pseudomonadati; Pseudomonadota; Alphaproteobacteria. The record is from RNAcentral.